This is a non-coding RNA of Ruminococcus sp. 37_24, 116 nucleotides long. The record is from Rfam. NCBI's taxonomy places the organism in Bacteria, Bacillati, Bacillota, Clostridia, Eubacteriales, Oscillospiraceae.
CAUAGUCUUCAGGGCAGGGUUGAAUUCCCUACCGGCGGUAAAGUCCGCAAGCGUAAAGCGCACGAUUCGGUGAAACUCCGAAACCGACAGUAAAGUCUGGAUGGAAGAAGACAUUU